This 253-nucleotide ribosomal RNA is filed under the name uncultured bacterium. RNAcentral's name for it is "partial 16S ribosomal RNA". It matches the Rfam family "Bacterial small subunit ribosomal RNA", at positions 524 to 776 of the family's 1533-position model. The record is from RNAcentral.
UACGGAAGGUGCAAGCGUUGCUCGGAAUCACUGGGCGUAUAGGGUGCGUAGGCGGCUUGGUAAGUUGGGGGUGAAAGCCCCGGGCUCAGCCCGGGAAGGGCACUCGAAACUGCCGAGCUGGAGUGCCGGAGGGGAGAGUGGAAUUCCUGGUGUAGCGGUGAAAUGCGUAGAUAUCAGGAGGAAUACCGGUGGCGAAAGCGACUCUCUGGACAGUUACUGACGCUGAUGCACGAAGGCCAGGGGAGCAAACGGG